AUCUAUGGAGCUAAUGAUGUCAAGGUUAUGUUUCUAUGGCUAGUGGUUAAUGAGCAGGUCGUCAUGUGUCCAGCACAAUGACUAACCACCUUAAUUUUCCCCACCUAAAAUCAGUUACCCAUUAGAGUUGGGUUACUGAGGGGCACCCUAAAAAUUCAAAAUCCCAAUCUUCAUUGAGGCUGGAGGUUCAAACCCAGGACCCCAUUGUUUUCCUAUGAGGUACACAAAUCCUUUAGCCGACAAAAAAUCAAAAUAUUGAUAUAGAAACGAAAUGAAAAAUGACUGAGCUUUUGGCCCAUGACUUUGAAAUGAUAAUAUCUAUGUAUACUUCUUUAUGUUGGCAGAGGAUCAACAUGAUUUGUUCAUUGAAAGACACUUGAAGGUGUAAGUUGUAAAAGGUUUUGAAAGACUUGCCAAAGCAAGGCAUUCUUGACAGGAAUAAACAUUGGGAGCAGCUCUAGCUGACUCAGCUCAGAGGAUGACAUCACAGUUAAUUGACAUCUUUCUGUUAACAAUGCAUGGAUUAUCUUAUCUUCUUCAUUCUAGGGGAAUUAUGCAUUGAGUGAAGACAUCUUGCUGUAGAAGAGAAGAACAAUUCAGAUAGUUCACAUGAUUUACAAUAUGGCUUUGAUUGUCUUAUGUUAAUGGCUGGUAAAGAACUGAAACAUGUAAGCUGAAGAUCACUUGAUAGAAAUCAAGAAAUCUCUGAUCUACAUUGUAUGAGAAAAUCAUGAAGUGGUUGUUGUCAUUGAUCCAGAAACUAAGUUGCAAUCUGUCUUGAUAAAUAUAUCAUACAGAUUUAAUGGUGGCCUACUCAACCCGAGGCAGCUUAAAGCAAAAACAAAAACAAACGCAGCUAUUUGCUGACGACUGUGCCCUAAAUGCCUGCUCUGAAAACGAUCUGCAGAGCAUCGUCAGUGACUUCUCAAGAGCAUGCUCAGACUUUGGCCUUACCAUCAAUACGAACAAGACUGAAGUCUUAUAUCUACCUGCUCCUGGGAAAGCCUACUUGGAUCCAAGCAUCACUAUAAAUGGACAGGAUAUAAACGCAGUGGACAAAUUCACAUAUCUUGGCAGCACACUCUCCAGAAAUGGAAAAAUCGAUAGUGAAAUUGACCUGUGUAUCGCCAAGGCCAGUGCAUCCUACGGCAGAUUGUCUACAAAUGUCUGGAACAGACGUGGUAUCUCCACAAACACCAAGCUAGGGGUCUAUAGAGCCGUCAUCCUCCCUACAUUGCUAUAUGCCUCAGAAACAUGGACAGUGUACAGUAAACAUGCAAAGAAACUAAACCACUUCCACAUGACAUGUCUGAGAAAAAUACUAAAUGUCAAUUGGCAAGACAAAAUACCAGAGUGUGUCUGCAAAGCAUCCACACAAUCCUGAUGCAGUCCCAGCUGCGAUGGGCAGGUCACGUCUACAGAAUGGAAGACCACCGCAUCCCUAAACGACUCCUGUAUGGCCAACUAAGCGAAGGAAAGCGCUCGCAAGGUGGUCAAAGAAAGCGCUUCAGGGACACCCUCAAUGCUUCUCUGAAGGCGUUCAGCAUAGACCUAGGCACGUGGGAGACAGAGGCACAUGACAGAGCAUCAUGGCGUCGCACUGUGAAAACUGGCGCACAGGUUGCUGGGGAAAAAAGAACAAUGCUGGCAGAAGAAAAACGCCAGAAAAGAAAAGCAAGGCCCACGACACUAGCUCCAGCUGGAAUAACCUGCCCAGUGUGCGGCCGAACAUUCCGGGCUCACAUAGGUCUCACCAGCCACAUGAGGAGGCAUAAAACCCCAGUGCAAAGCCCUCAGCCCCCUGGAUGACAAAGUGGUCAUCAUCGAACCAUGAUGGACGAACUAUAAGUUGCAAUCUGUCUUGUGAACGAAUUGUGUGUCCCCUUACCUGUCAAUUCUGUUUAGUGAUGGUCAAGCUCAACUGAUAUUAUUCUAAGCAGCUUUUAUUCUGAGAAUCAUUCAACCACAGAAGCUGUGAGGGAUAUCUGAAAUCCAUUGCUUACUUGUCUAGCAGAAAGAUUUCUAUCCGUUUAGUGAUAAAAGAUUGAGAUUAAUUGUAUACAACUUUUUGUAGUCGCCAAAUAACACACUUUUAUGCUCAAGCAAUACUGUUCAUGAAUGGUUUAGUUUUCUUGAUGCUGAGAGUGUUCAUGAAAGAGGGAUCAAAGGUCAAUUUGGGUGUUUGUUUUUUAAGACAACUUGCUAUGUUUAUUAAUUUAAAUUUACCAGGUACCUAUUAUUCAUUUACUUUGGAUUUUAGAAUAUUUGUCAUUGAAAUUUAAAUAGGUAUAAGUACAGUUAAUUAACCACAGGAUUCCAUUAAAAAAUUUAAAUGCUAAAGAAAUUUAAAAAGAAAACAUUUCAUUUUUGAGAUUACAUCAUCUUUAUGUGGAAUGUUUUUUGAAUAAAUGGUACCUGUACAGGUGAUUAGACCUAUUAAUAAAUGAUAACUGGAUAUAUUUGUAUUUGAAACCACUGGCUUGUAUUUUACUUGUUACUAAUAACUUAAUUUACUUUUUAAUAUAUGCAUUAUCUUCUAUUUUGAAGUAACAUCUGUAUUAUAUAAGAUAAGAUUAUCAACUGUAGUUUUCUUUUAAGAGUUCUUUAUGAAAAUGUUGCCACUGAACACUGCUAUAUUACUAGACUUUUUUCAACUAUGUUUUGUAAAUGAAAUAUUGUACAAUGGCAUAUUUAUUGUAUUACAUAAUUAAGGUUUUUAUAGCUAUAUAUUAAAAACAUCUCAUAUUUAAUGUACUCUCUGCACUGAACAAUUUUUUUUAAAGUGAUAAAAAUUUUGGUUUAUUCAUAUCAAGUUUGUUUUGUUUGUAUAUAUGUAGAAUAUGUAUAUCAUAGUGAAAGCAUUUAUUUACUUGCAUUUUAGUUUUUAUAAUCAUUUAUAGAAUUCAGUGUAAAUUCAUUGUACAUUGAACCUCGUUGGUAGUGACAAUGUUAUUAAGUUGACAUGAAGUAUUUAUGUAUAGUCCUGGGUGUUAACUACAUUGUUCAUUGGAUGACUGCCUGACAGUGUUUUAUCCCAUGGGAACCAAUAGAUCAGCAUGUCAAUAUAUCUGUUGUAGUAAUGUUUAGAGUAUACAACUCUAGCAAUAAAUAUUCUGAUCAAGUUUAUAUUUUUGGAACAGAAUAUGCUAAUGUGUUAAAUAAAUUUUUUUUUAUUUUAAGAAUAACAUAUGUCUAAGUAGUAUAACUUCUAAUUUAAUUUCUCCCUUUUAAAAUCAACCAUCUAAAUUAGGGAUGGCAACCUUUUUCUGUUGAGGGCCGCAUUAAAUUUUUUUUUUUAGGAAUAGGGGGCCACAUAUAUAUAAUUUGUAUUUACAACUUAGAAAAAUAUGCUAGCUGUCUAUUAAUUUACUUGUAUACUGUAUUAGACAUUCAAAUUGAGGAAUUAUAACAAGAUUUAGCAAUUUUUGAAACUAAUUUAACUAAUAUUUUUAAAAAAUUUGUUACUGUCUUUUUACAUCACAUUCAUUCUUCACAACAAUCCAGUUAUACUUAAUGUGAAGUAUUUAAUUGUGCAUAAUGUUCCGGAACUCUGGAACUAGCUUUACUAGUUCUUAUCUUUGUGACUGCUGUUAAAUUACAGCCAGUCAGCAUCCACUUGUUCUUCUGGUUGCAUAUGUUCAAACAAAAGAAAAUAUUCUUGUGCAUCCAAAAAUGUCAAAGUUUAGCAUCAAGUCUUUUUAAGUGUGGAAAUACAGCUUAUGCACCCUUCAAACUGCUUCUCUUUUGGGUCAUAAUUUGCUAGGAAGUAUUUCCUCAGGAGCUGAAUCAGCUUCUGUACUAAAUGGUGAAGUGAGGAUAUUCAAAAAUGGUUUAAGUUCUUGACGUCUUAACAUUUGUUUUCAAAUUCCAUAAGUCUUGUUCUUUUCUUUUUACUAGAAAUAGUUUCGCCUUUCAGCAAAGGAAAAUGUGUCACAGUCUUAGUUGACAUUGCAUGAUCUAAAGUUCAUGUCAUGUUAAGAGUUUAAAAGACACGUGGAAUUCCUGAUGUAGAAAACAGGAAGUAGAAUGAAUAAAGUUGACUUUGAGUUCAGUCAAGUCAAGUCAGUAAGGUUUUGCUCCCGGUCCAGGAAGGUUGGACGUUGCUUCCUUGACUGGUCUAUAUAUAUAUGUAUAUAGCAUGAAAGUCGAUGGACUAAUGAUUGUUGAUUAAUUAUAUUUGAGAGUUGAUUUCAUCAUGUGCUUAUUGAAUAUUAAAGUAUUAUUCGUAUUGCAAUGGAUAUCUAUAGUUGGAGCUCCAGUGUCACUAGUAGCAAUUGUUCUUAUUGUUACCCGCUGAGAUGCGGACGUGAUUUGUAACUAACAUAUAUUGCAUACUUUUGAUACCGCUGUUAUGUGGAUAGGAUUGUUAUUAUUUCUUGACUUGUAGCACUAACAAGGAGUGCAGUGUACUAUUAUUAUUAUUAUGGUAAAAUAAACUUCAUGUCUGCUGAAACGGACUUGAGUCAGUGGUAUAGUAUGUUUAACAUUUACAAAAUGAUAAAACCUGUUUUCACUUGCUUGACUGGAGAAAUGGAAAAGCUUGAAAAGAUGCUCAUAAAUUUCAUGAUGUGCAAGUAGCCCAUUGCAACUCUUCAUUAGAAACAUUAGUAAGAAAGCCACUGUCAGUGUCAUUAAGGAAAAAAAAAAUUUUCCUUGAGACCCCAUAUUCUUUUCAAUACCUUGCCCAUGUGGUACUUCUUGAAACUGUCUGUGGCUCUGAUAAGUUUGAUCACUGAGAUGAUUAGGUCAAUAAUAUGUCUGAUAUUCACUAUUUUUCUCAGUCAAAGCAUGGGCUCCAUCAGUUGUUACACUUGACAUCUUGUUCCAAGCCAACCCAACACUUUCAACACAGUUCUACAUAAAUACUGGUCUGAGUGUGUGUCUUGUUUCGAAAUAUUACCAAUAAGCAUAAUUUUCAUUUGCUUAAAACUUUAGAGAAUGUUUAUUUAGCUGCUUCAUCAUAAUUGAUUGAUUUGAUUUUAGGCACAUCAGCACAAUUUAGGCCAUUUAAGUAUCAUAAUUGAUAUGAUAUUUAAAAUUAUUUAUUUUUAAUAUAUUUGCAUUUUUAUAUGUUUAAUCUGUGGGCUCACCUGAAUUCUGUAGGUUUCCGCGGGCCGCAAAAAACACUUUGGCAGGCAGCAUGUGGCCCGUGGUCUGUAAUUUGCCCACCCCUGAUCUAAAUGAAUUAAGUUAUUUCUACUACUAAAAGUAAUAUCAGGACUACCAAUGUACCUUAGUUUUUAACUAAAUAUUUAUUUGUGCAGCACUUUCAGUUUUAUUGUGAUAUUGUAUACAUUGAUUUGAUUAACUCAUUUUGAUGUAUAUGUAUACCUUACAAUCAAAGUGACAUUCAUUUUUUUUUUAAAUUGUAACUGGUCUGUGCUAAAUUACUGAAUUCAUAUUAAGAGAUAACUAUUAAUGUAUUUGAAAGUUAAUGGUAAAGGGAAAAUAGGUCAUUGUGCUGGUCUCAAUACACCUUGAAAUGUACAGUAAUUACUUCAAUGAACAAGAAGAAAUUAAUCAGCAAUGAAAUUACCAAAAAAGAUAUGACAGGAAAUGCUAUUAACAUUAGUCAGUGAUUACCCUCUACAAAGUCAUAGUCAACUAAUCUAAUUGACUUCAAUAUUCAAUCAUUAUCAAAAAUAAACCAUUCCAAAGACAAAGUGAAUGAUAGACAAAAAAUAGAAGCUUUUUGAUGUAGGGCAAAAUGUUAAAAUAUUCAAGUUAAAAUAAAUUUCCUUUUUCAGACUUUGCCAUCUGUAAGACAGAUGAUACAAAAAAUCAUCUGUUUCUGGGUCUUAUGGUCAAUGAGGGUAUCAGGUGGCCACCACAAUGACCAACCGCCUUUACUUUUCUCCAUUAAAUGUCAGGAACCCAUUUGAGCUGGGUGGACUGAAAGGUGCCUAAUUGUUUUUCUUUAUAUUAGGACUAUUAUAAAAAAAAUGGUCUUCAAACCCUAGACCUAUGUUUGGCAGCCAAGCACUUUACCGCUUAGCCACCACACCUCCAAGUGAAUUCUAUAGAAACUUUUAACUGUUUGCUCAUCUUUCAUUCUACAACUAAAGCAAGGUAAUUAUGUAUUGUUAGGGACAAUGCUGUCUGGAAUGAGAGAAUAUGUUAGCCUGGCGGGG
Biomphalaria glabrata is the source of this 6131-nucleotide long non-coding RNA. RefSeq lists it as uncharacterized. The transcript has 3 exons. Lineage: Eukaryota; Metazoa; Mollusca; Gastropoda; Planorbidae. The record is from RefSeq and is a predicted model, not a curated record.